Molecule: non-coding RNA, 303 nt
Organism: Vicia faba (fava bean)
Lineage: Eukaryota; Viridiplantae; Streptophyta; Magnoliopsida; Fabales; Fabaceae
Source: the annotation of a GenBank genome assembly
AUGCUGGUAUCUUUUCAGGUAAGCAUGGUUAUUGGUGAUAGGGGUCUACUUACGUUUAUACAUGGAGCAUGCACUAUCACUUCUUGGUUGUCGAUAAUGGAAGUGGAUUGUUGUUUUACCGUCGCACAUCAAGUGUUCGAUGAAAUGCCCCAGCUGGAUUUCUUCUUCUUCUUUCUUUUGCAUUAUAGAUUGUUCCAGUUCAAGAAGUUUCGUUCUUUGUUGUCAGGAAAAGAAAAAAGACCUUUGAGAUGUAUAAUGCCCACAUUCAUCUUGAAAAAUGAUUUCAAACCAAGAGUUAUUUGA